This 398-nucleotide ribosomal RNA is filed under the name uncultured bacterium. Its description in RNAcentral is "bacterial SSU rRNA". It matches the Rfam family "Bacterial small subunit ribosomal RNA", at positions 28 to 430 of the family's 1533-position model. The record is from RNAcentral.
GACGAACGCUGGCGGCGUGCUUAACACAUGCAAGUCGAGCGGUAAGGCCCUUUCGGGGGUACGACGAGCGGCGAACGGGUGAGUAACACGUGGGUGACCUGCCCUCAGCUCUGGGAUAAGCCUGGGAAACCGGGUCUAAUACUGGAUAUGACUCCAUGACGCAUGUUGUGGGGUGGAAAGCCUUGUGCGGCUGAGGAUGGGCCCGCGGCCUAUCAGCUUGUUGGUGGGGNGAUGCCUACCAAGGCGACGACGGUAGCCGGCCUGAGAGGGCGGACCGGCCACACUGGGACUGAGACACGGCCCAGACUCCUACGGGAGGCAGCAGUGGGGAAUCUUGCGCAAUGGGCGAAAGCCUGACGCAGCGACGCCGCGUGAGGGAUGACGGCCUCGGUGUAACG